RNAcentral lists this ribosomal RNA (370 nucleotides) under uncultured organism. RNAcentral describes it as "bacterial SSU rRNA". It matches the Rfam family "Bacterial small subunit ribosomal RNA", at positions 526 to 896 of the family's 1533-position model. The record is from RNAcentral.
CGAACUGUGCGAACGUUAUUCGGAAUCACUGGGCUUAAAGGGUGCGUAGGCGGUUAUCUAAGUCAGGUGUGAAAUCUCUCGGCUCAACCGGGAAACUGCGCUUGAAACUGGGUGACUGGAGGGAUGCAGGGGUGUGUGGAACUUCCGGUGGAGCGGUGAAAUGUGUAGAUAUCGGAAGGAACGCCAGCAGCGAAAGCGGCACACUGGGCAUUUUCUGACGCUGAGGCACGAAAGCUAGGGGAGUGAACGGGAUUAGAUACCCCGGUAAUCCUAGCCGUAAACACUGAGCACUGGAGGAGGGAGGCUUCGGCCUUCUUUCUCGUAGCGAAAGCGUUAAGUGCUCCGCCUGGGGAGUAUGGUCGCAAGGCUG